GUUGGUUAAAUAAGGUAAAAUUCUUAAAUGGUGUAGAAAAACCUAAAACGCUCUUAUCGACGCCGUCGCUCGCUGCCGAAUUUAUUUUCCCGACUUCGUCCUUCGCACAAAAAGUUGGCCUUCUCGCUUCACCACCAUUUUGGCCUCAGAAAAGGAGAUAUUGCCUUCGUGCUUUCUCCUAACUCUAUUCAGCUUUCGGUCCUUUAUUUCUAUAUCUUCGCUCUCGGUGUCGUUACCUCUCCUAAAAAAUCAAGUGUCUUUAAACUUGAGAUUCUCCACCAAAUUCAGCUAUCGAAACAUGUACUUGUGUUCGUCACGUUGAAUGCUACUCAUACAAUUCCUAAUCUCAAAACAAUCGUACUCGACUCUUCCGAGUUUGAAUCGCUGAUGAUGAGUCUAGCUAACUGUGGAGAAAUGGAAGGAGGGAAGGUUUACCAAUUGGACCCUGGGACAAUUCUCUAUCCUCACGGACUACUGGUCGAGUUAAUGGAUUGGUUUUGGCUCAUCGAAAUUUCAGAUGCAUGGUGGCCCUAAGCCAUGCGGUUUACAUGAGCUGGAUGGCUGCUGCAACUUUCUUUUUUUUUGGUGCCUUAUUUUCAUGUUUAUGGUUUAUGUUAUUUCGUGAGAGCUUUAACUAUGGGAGUGGCGGUGGUGUCCAUAGGUAGAUUUGAUAUGAAGACAAUGUUGACAGUAAUUCAGCAGUGUAAGAUAGACUGCACCGGCUGUGGUGCUAAUAACGAAGGAUCCUAGGUUGUUAGAUGACUAAGAUUUUAGCUCUCUAGAUGUUGUAGGCUGCAGAGUUGCUUCGCUUAGGAAAAGCGUAGUUGAACUGUUUCGUGAACAAUUUCGAAAUUUGAGUUUAAGUCAACUUAGUUAAACACCAAACUUGGAUUUUUACCAUUAACCGGUGGUUAAUUUCUCAUAUUGGUUAUUCAAUGUGUAGCGUAUGAUCCACCAUUAAGUAAUAAAAAAAUACGGAUGGAACGUCACGUUAGCUGUCGGCAAAUGCUCCCCCGCUUUCAUUUCAAAUUUGGAUUGAAUUGCUAAAUGUUUUUAAAUCCUAACUUAUUGUACCAAGUAAAAUCAUUUUAAUUAAAAUGUAAAAAUUCAUAAAGGUUUAAAUUUUUUAUGCCAUUAUCCAAAAAUAUAUUAAAUGUCAUGAAAUACAUCAUAAUAGUUAAUUGACAAAAGGAGAGAAGCACCACGGUACUUCUCCGUUUCGGUUAGUCAAAUAACCUUAUAGGGGUGUUGGAGUUGGUGGUAUUAGAGCUAACGUUUAGGCCUUUCUAGGUGUUAAGGAGAAGUAACAAGUAUAAGCAAAUGUGUAUACCUUAUAGGUUAAGGUCUGGAUAUAACUCUACUAUAGGCUUUAGUAACUUGGCUAAGAAUGUUAUUUGACAUUCAACAUGUGUUAGAAGAUACAGGUGAUAGUCUAAAGUCGUGAUCGCGAUAAUCUAUUCAAUGCUACAAAUGUUUGUAUUGUAAGCUGCAGAUUACAUUAUGGACAUUGGAGCAUUGAGUGGAAAUUGUGUACAUCACUUUUAGGAAUCUGCUAGGAUAUAGUAGAUGCCUUAUAUCUGAUGCAGUUGUACCGUGACUGAAGAUACCAGGAGAAUAUGCACAUAAAAUAAAUGAUAGUUAUGAGAUGGUAGGUGUGAUUAAGGGGUUAAUUUAUCUCAUUAAUGAGAUAUUAGUUAGUCUUGCUAGGAAAAAAAGAAGGAAGAUUGUAGAGUUUAUCCAACUUUUAAGAACAUGACACAAAUAGUGUAUGAUUUCGUAAUGUACUUUUUGAUAAAUAUUUCGAUUCAUCACUUGGAAGUGGAUAGGGUUGCCUUUAAGAUUAUAUUGAAGGUCUAUGUUUAAAAACCGAAUUAAUCACUGCAAUAGUUUAUUCUUUUUCCCUUUUUAGAAGCAUUAUUAUAUUUGAUAAGAUUAGAUAAAUUAUUUUGGCGGAAUUGAUAUUAUUUGAGAUAAUAUUGUUGUUUAUUGGAAGUUUAGUUUUUAUCUAUAUUGAUGAUAUAGUUAGAUUUUAAACACUUUAAUCGGUACAAGUAAUUAUUAUUUAUAGGUUAUAUUGAUAUCUGUUUACUUAUAAAUAUGUGUAUAUAUAUAUAUAUAUGUUUUGAAUAUUGGUAUUUAGUUUCUUAAUACGUUGUGCAAAGUAUAGCUAUGAAAAUAUGAAAAUAUAAUUAUUUAUGUUUCCUUAGUUAUUUACUGGAUUCCAUGUAUAACUCUUAUUCCUCCAAUAGAUUGUUGAAUAAAUGAAUAAGACUAUUUUUGUAUAGCAUAGUUUGAUAUUGUGGUUGAUUAUUAGCAAGAAUAAAUUAUGUUAGUAUAAACUUUAUUUUAUUAUCUAUUGUUAAGAGCUACGUGGACCUGAUCCUCUAUUGGAGAUACGUAGGCAGGCUUCGGGUGCGGUCCAAAUAUAACAUAUGUUAAGACUUUAAUUAGCAAAUAGUAGCGAUGUAAAUUCAAGCCAUAUUAACAGAUUUUCAUGUUGAAUAAAUUACUUAUUGGAAAUUUAAUAAGUUUAAUAUGACUAAAAUAAUUAACAUACAUAUAAUUAUAUUUAUAAGAGUAUAGAUAAAAAUAAAGCCACAAAAGAAAUCACUGAAUUAGAUAAGAUGUAGGAGAACAAUUUUCAUAAAGAGACCAUGAGUGAAUUAGACCCUUAAUAUUGCCAAAACAUGACUAUAACUUAGGAUAGAAGCAUACAGAAGUACCUAAAAUGAAUAACUUGGAAAGCUUGUCAAAGGAACGAAAAUUGGCAUGCGAAUAGGUGCAAUUUGUGAUAUAGAACAGCAAUUGAAAGGCAGUGUCACAAUCUAAAUAUAAAACGUAAGUUGGCAUUUGAAAGGCAGUGUCGUGGUUCAGUUAUAAGGCAUAGACGAAGUGUCGCACCUAUCCCAAAUCCCCAUUUACUAGCAAACUAAAUGAAAUUGUUUUUUGAAAAAAUAAAGAAUAAUGGCAUAAAAAUCCAAAAUUUUAUUUCUUGGCACAAUAAAUUAGGAUUUAAAAAUAUUUGGCGAUUCUUUCCAAAUUUGAAUUGGAAGUGGGGGAGUAUCUGUCAGUAGCAGGCCAUAUUGUAUUUUUAUAUUACUUGAUGCUGGACUCUACGCUACACCAUGGAUAACCAAGGCGAGGUAUUAAUCGUUGGUUAAUUAAGGUAAAAUUCUUAAAUGGUGUAGAAAAACCUAAAACGCUCUCAUCGACGCCGUCGCUCGCUGCCGAAUUUAUUUUCCCGACUUCAUCCUUCGCACAAAAAGUUGGCCUUCUCGCUUCACCACCAUUUUGGCCUCAAAAAAGGAGAUAUUGCCUUCGUGCUUUCUCCUAACUCUAUUCAGAUUUCGGUCCUUUAUUUCUAUAUCUUCGCUCUCGGUGUCGUUACCUCUCCUAAAAAAUCAAGUGUCUUUAAACUUGAAAUUCUCCACCAAAUUCAGCUGUCGAAACCUGUACUUGUGUUCGUCACGUCGAAUGCUGCUCAUACAAUUCCUAAUCUCAAAACAAUCGUACUCGACUCUCCCGAGUUUGAAUCGCUGAUGAUGAGUCUAGCUCACUGUGGAGAAAUGGAAGGAGGGAAGGUUUACCAAUUGGACCCUGUGACAAUUCUCUAUCCUCACGGACUACUGGUCGAGUUAAUGGAUUGGUUUUGGCUCAUCGAAAUUUCAGAUGCAUGGUG
Molecule: long non-coding RNA, 3679 nt
Filed under: Manihot esculenta (cassava)
Lineage: Eukaryota; Viridiplantae; Streptophyta; Magnoliopsida; Malpighiales; Euphorbiaceae
Description: long non-coding RNA (MESC_LNC011745)
Source: RNAcentral